GCAAGUCGAACGAGAAAGCCCUUCGGGGUAAGUAGAGUGGCAAACGGGUGAGUAACACGUAAGAAUCUACCUUUUGGUGGGGGAUACCUUCGAGAAAUUGGGGUUAAUACCAUAUAAGUCCCUGAGGGGAGAAAGGCCGCGUAAUGCGGUCGCCGAAAGAUGAGCUUGCGGCCUAUUAGCUAGUUGGUGUGGUAAGAGCGCACCAAGGCGAUGAUGGGUAACCGGCCUGAGAGGGUGAUC
Molecule: ribosomal RNA, 240 nt
Filed under: uncultured bacterium
Lineage: Bacteria
Description: partial 16S ribosomal RNA
Rfam family: Bacterial small subunit ribosomal RNA
Source: RNAcentral